GUGUAGCUCAGCUGGAUAGAGCGACUGGCUACGGACCAGUAGGUCGUGGGUUCGAAUCCUGUCACG
Molecule: transfer RNA, 66 nt
Filed under: uncultured Acetatifactor sp.
Lineage: Bacteria; Bacillati; Bacillota; Clostridia; Lachnospirales; Lachnospiraceae
Rfam family: tRNA
About the family: Transfer RNA (tRNA) molecules are approximately 80 nucleotides in length. Their secondary structure includes four short double-helical elements and three loops (D, anti-codon, and T loops). Further hydrogen bonds mediate the characteristic L-shaped molecular structure. tRNAs have two regions of fundamental functional importance: the anti-codon, which is responsible for specific mRNA codon recognition, and the 3' end, to which the tRNAs corresponding amino acid is attached (by aminoacyl-tRNA synthetases). tRNAs cope with the degeneracy of the genetic code in two manners: having more than one tRNA (with a specific anti-codon) for a particular amino acid; and 'wobble' base-pairing, i.e. permitting non-standard base-pairing at the 3rd anti-codon position.
Source: RNAcentral